This 253-nucleotide ribosomal RNA is filed under the name uncultured bacterium. RNAcentral describes it as "partial 16S ribosomal RNA". It matches the Rfam family "Bacterial small subunit ribosomal RNA", at positions 524 to 776 of the family's 1533-position model. The record is from RNAcentral.
UACGGAGGGGGCUAGCGUUGUUCGGAAUUACUGGGCGUAAAGCGCGCGUAGGCGGCUUUGUAAGUUAGAGGUGAAAGCCUGGAGCUCAACUCCAGAACUGCCUUUAAGACUGCAUCGCUAGAAUCGUGGAGAGGUGAGUGGAAUUCCGAGUGUAGAGGUGAAAUUCGUAGAUAUUCGGAAGAACACCAGUGGCGAAGGCGACUUACUGGACACAUAUUGACGCUGAGGUGCGAAAGCGUGGGGAGCAAACAGG